UCACGCCUUACGGCGGCAGUUUCACCAGAGUUCCCGGCAUGACCCGUUGGCAACUGGAAGCAGGGGUUGCGCUCGUUGCGGGACUUAACCCAACACCUCACGACACGAGCUGACGACAGCCAUGCAGCACCUGUGCAUGGACUCCGAAGAGGGCGCCUGGUUUCUCAGGCGUUUCCCAUGCAUGUCAAGCCUAGGUAAGGUUCUUCGCGUUGCGUCGAAUUAAACCACAUGCUCCACCGCUUGUGCGGGCCCCCGUCAAUUCCUUUGAGUUUCAGCCUUGCGGCCGUACUCCCCAGGCGGGGCACUUAAUGCGUUAGCGCCGGCCCUCGGGGGGUCGCUCCCCCAAGCGCCUAGUGCCCAUCGUUUACGGCGUGGACUAC
This 380-nucleotide unclassified non-coding RNA is filed under the name uncultured Gemmatimonadaceae bacterium. RNAcentral describes it as "contains 16S-23S intergenic spacer region". The record is from RNAcentral. Lineage: Bacteria; Pseudomonadati; Gemmatimonadota; Gemmatimonadia; Gemmatimonadales; Gemmatimonadaceae.